This 1389-nucleotide ribosomal RNA is filed under the name metagenome. Its description in RNAcentral is "bacterial SSU rRNA". It matches the Rfam family "Bacterial small subunit ribosomal RNA". The record is from RNAcentral.
AGAGUUUGAUCCUGGCUCAGGAUGAACGCUGGCGGCGUGCCUAAUACAUGCAAGUCGAACGAGGACAAUUAGAUCUUCGGAUUUAUGAAAUCCUAGUGGCGAACGGGUGAGUAACGCGUUGGUGACCUGCCCCGAAGAGGGGGAUAACAGUUCGAAAGGACUGCUAAUACCCCAUAAGCUCACGAGAGUUAGAGGUCUAGUGAGAAAAGGAGUAAUCCGCUUCGGGAGGGGCCUGCGUCCCAUCAGCUAGUUGGUAGGGUAAAAGCCUACCAAGGCGAUGACGGGUAGGGGACCUGAGAGGGUGGCCCCCCACAAUGGAACUGAAACACGGUCCAUACACCUACGGGUGGCAGCAGUAGGGAAUAUUGCUUAAUGGGCGAAAGCCUGAAGCAGCAACGCCGCGUGUACGAUGAAGGCCUUCGGGUUGUAAAGUACUUUUUGUAGGGAUGAGGAAGGACAGUACCUGCAGAAUAAGCCUCGGCUAACUACGUGCCAGCAGCCGCGGUAAAACGUAGGAGGCGAGCGUUAUCCGGAUUUACUGGGCGUAAAGCGCGUGUAGGCGGAUUGGUAAGUUAGCUGUGAAAGCUCCCGGCUUAACUGGGAGAGGUCGGUUAAUACUGUCAGUCUAGAGUAUGUGAGAGGGAAGUGGAAUUCCGGGUGUAGUGGUGAAAUGCGUAGAUAUCCGGAGGAACACCAGAGGCGAAAGCGGCUUCCUGGCACAUUACUGACGCUCAGACGCGAAAGCUAGGGGAGCAAACGGGAUUAGAGACCCCGGUAGUCCUAGCUGCAAACGAUGUAGGCUUGGCGUUGGUGGGGUCAAACCCAUCAGUGCCGGAGCUAACGCAUUAAGUCUACCGCCUGGGGACUACGGCCGCAAGGUUAAAACUCAAAGGAAUUGACGGGGACCCGCACAAGCAGCGGAGCGUGUGGUUUAAUUCGAUAUUACACGAAGAACCUUACCAGGGUUUGACAUGCAAGUGGUAGUGAAGCGAAAGCAGAACGACCCUUCGGGGAGCUUGCACAGGUGCUGCAUGGCUGUCGUCAGCUCGUGUCGUGAGAUGUUCGGUUAAGUCCGCUAACGAGCGCAACCCUCGUCGUGUGUUACAAGUGUCACGCGAGACCGCCGGUCAUAAACCGGAGGAAGGUGGGGAUGACGUCAAGUCAGCAUGGCCUUUAUGUCCUGGGCUACACACACGCUACAAUGGCCAGUACAAUUGGUAGCAAAGUCGCGAGGCGGAGCCAAUCCGUAAAAGCUGGCCCCAUUUCAGAUUGUAGGCUGCAACCCGCCUGCAUGAAGAUGGAGUUGCUAGUAACCGCAGGUCAGCAAUACUGCGGUGAAUACGUUCCCGGGUCUUGUACACACCGCCCGUCACGUCAUGGGAGCUGGAG